UACGUAGGGGGGCAAGCGUUUGUCCGGAAUUAUUGGGCGUAAAGCGCGCGCAGGUGGUUUCUUAAGUCUGAUGUGAAAGCCCACGGCUCAACCGUGGAGGGUCAUUGGAAACUGGGGAACUUGAGUGCAGGAGAGAAGAGUGGAAUUCCACGUGUAGCGGUGAAAUGCGUAGAGAUCAGGAGGAACACCAAUGGCGAAAGCAGGUGACUGGACACGUAUUGACACUGAGCCACGAAAGCUAGGGGAGCAAACAGG
RNAcentral lists this ribosomal RNA (255 nucleotides) under uncultured bacterium. RNAcentral's name for it is "partial 16S ribosomal RNA". It matches the Rfam family "Bacterial small subunit ribosomal RNA", at positions 524 to 776 of the family's 1533-position model. The record is from RNAcentral.